GACGAACGCUGGCGGCGUGCUUAACACAUGCAAGUCGAACGGAAAGGCGCUGCUUUUGUGGGGUGCUCGAGUGGCGAACGGGUGAGUAACACGUGAGUAACCUGCCCUUGACUUUGGGAUAACUUCAGGAAACUGGGGCUAAUACCGGAUAGGAGCUCCUGCUGCACGGUGGGGGUUGGAAAGUUUCGGCGGUUGGGGAUGGACUCGCGGCUUAUCAGCUUGUUGGUGGGGUAGUGGCUUACCAAGGCUUUGACGGGUAGCCGGCCUGAGGGGGUGACCGGCCACAUUGGGACUGAGAUACGGCCCAGACUCCUACGGGAGGCAGCAGUGGGGAAUAUUGCACAAUGGGCGGAAGCCUGAUGCAGCAACGCCGCGUGCGGGAUGACGGCCUUCGGGUUGUAAACCGCUUUCGCCUGUGACGAAGCGUGAGUGACGGUAAUGGGUAAAGAAGCACCGGCUAACUACGUG
Molecule: ribosomal RNA, 468 nt
Filed under: uncultured bacterium
Lineage: Bacteria
Description: partial 16S ribosomal RNA
Rfam family: Bacterial small subunit ribosomal RNA
Source: RNAcentral